RNAcentral lists this small RNA (540 nucleotides) under Pongo abelii (Sumatran orangutan). RNAcentral describes it as "processed transcript". The record is from RNAcentral. Lineage: Eukaryota; Metazoa; Chordata; Mammalia; Primates; Hominidae.
AAACACUCAGGGAGGGCACCCCGAGUGUCGCCGCUGAGGGCGUUUCUCUAAGCCCUUCUCUGAGCCUUGCUGCUGAAGGCCCCCCCGACACCUGGCGGGGGCUGGGCUGCGGGCCUUGGGGCGGUGUCCCGCGUGAAUGUUCAGGAACAGAAAUGAAUAAAAGUCGCUGGCAGAGUAGAAGACAUGGGAGAAGAAGCCACCAGCAGAACCCUUGGUUCAGACUCCGUGAUUCUGAAGACAGGUCUGACUCCCGGGCAGCACAGCCCGCUCACGAUUCCGGCCACGGUGAUGACGAGUCUCCGUCGACCUCGUCUGGCACAGCUGGGACCUCCUCUGUGCCAGAGCUACCUGGAUUUUACUUUGACCCUGAAAAGAAACGCUACUUCCGCUUGCUCCCUGGACAUAACAACUGCAACCCCCUGACGAAAGAGAGCAUCCGGCAGAAGGAGAUGGAGAGCAAGAGACUGCGGCUGCUCCAGGAAGAGGACAGACAGAAAAAGAUUGCCAGGAUGGGAUUUAAUGCAUCUUCCAUGCUACGAA